This is a long non-coding RNA of Coregonus clupeaformis (lake whitefish), 1187 nucleotides long. RefSeq lists it as uncharacterized. The record is from RefSeq and is a predicted model, not a curated record. The transcript is spliced from 11 exons. Lineage: Eukaryota; Metazoa; Chordata; Actinopteri; Salmoniformes; Salmonidae.
UUCAUUCUCUCUCUUUCUCGCGCUCGCCUCCCAGAAGAGUAUUGUGGUCUACUUGCAGAAGCAGAACAUCCGCCGCAUUGUCGAAGUGAUAUGUUAGAAAUGCUUAUUUAGUAUGAAGUUAUUGGUGCAGUGCUGCCACAUGAGUCUUGCCAUGCUCCUGCACUAGUUAUUUGUUAAGUAGCUAACAGUAGCUAGCUUGAUAGUUAUGGAGCAUGGGGUCUUGCAGAACCAUGCACGUGGGGAACUCGGAACAUUUUUAAACCAUGCCAGGCUAUUCUGUCUGGACCUGGCCUGUGUGGACUGAACUGGAGCAGCACAUGGCAGAUGCUGGCUGAAUUACUUGAUGGCGAGGAGACUUCACCUCAAAAGGUGUGGAACUGAACCAAGGAUGUGGAGACAUAAUCUGAAAAGAUUUGGGAGACUACUCCCUCUGGGCGAACUGAAGCCAUACACACGGCAAUAGAGUCCGCCCAAAUGACUUGAUGGUGAGGAGACUUCACCUCGAAAGGUGUGACGCUUCAUCAAUGAGUUGAUUGCAUGGCGACUCAUCUGGCAAGGUGUGGAACUGAACCAAGGAUGUGGAGACCUAAUCUGAAAAGGUGUGAAGCUGCCCCAAUGAGUUAAUGGGAAGGAGACUUCACUUGGCAAGUGUACCUCUUUGAAUGACAUCCUGCAAGUCUCCGAAAUAGACAUGUAGACUGGGGUCUUCCUCGUCUGAUUCUCAGCCCUCACCUACCCUUCCAGAAUCUACAAGGAACCCUAUUCUAUCCCUUUAUUAGUUAUUCUCCCUGAUUUAUUGGUGUGUGAAUGAUGGACUGGAAUUACUGUCAGAUUGUUUAGUGGUGAUAUUUGGUUUUCUGAACAUCUCAAAAGUGUUGGUUAUGGGCCCCCACCCCCUGGGUGGGAUAAUUUAAAACGGGUUACUGUUAUACACAGUGGUAACUCCUAUAAACUUCAAUACAUUUAAAUAGGUUUAACUCUGUAUGUGCCUUCAGUGUAUUCACACCCUUUGACUUUCUCCACAUUUUGUAUUACAGCUUGACUUUCAAAUGGAUUAAAUUGAGUUUGACACUGGCCUACACCAUAAUGUCAGUGGAUAAUUUUCUUACGCAAAGCUUUGCAUAUGUGUUCAACACCUUUUGUUAUGGGAGCCUAUACGUUCUGGAAUAAAUUUGCUUACAAAUUCA